Non-coding RNA from Arachis ipaensis, 1499 nucleotides. NCBI's taxonomy places the organism in Eukaryota, Viridiplantae, Streptophyta, Magnoliopsida, Fabales, Fabaceae. The record is from RefSeq and is a predicted model, not a curated record.
ACUUAGAUGUAGAGUUUUAUGGACCAAAGUGAUGCACAUAAAUAAUAACCGCAUAAGUUUUUUAGAUAGACAUAUAUUUUUCAAAAUAAUUAUCUUAAAGAUCAUAAGCUAAUUUUAGCUUAAUUAGGCAUGGUCUCUCUCGUUUGGCCUCAGAUUCAGAGUCACCACCUUUUUUUUCACCUGAUAUCAAGGGUCAUGGUGGAGUAGAUACUGGAAAUAUUUUGCUUGCUUGAUUAGAUGGCUAUUGGGACCCUAAGUUUAUUGACAAUGGUUCGAUUCGAGAGUGGGAGUUUCAAUGGCCUACCUCCUCCUCGCUCCCCCAAGUUGUCGCCACAUAGUCACAUCUCACUCACUAAGCCAUCUUGGGUUGUGAGAACGGAGUCAAAUGUUAAGAAGAAGAGAAGAAAGAAGCCGGAUCCGCAUUGUGUAGUCUGUGAGGGGAGUGGACGAGUCGAUUGCCACCAGUGUCGUGGGAAGGGAAGGACAAACCAGGUUCAUUUGGAAAUGCUCCCGAAAGGUGACUGGCCAAAAUGGUGUAGAACUUGUGGCGGAAGCGGUCUUGGUUACUGCUCCCGUUGCCUUGGUACUGGAGAAUAUAGGCUUUUGUGGGAAUAUGAUAUUUGUUGUCGAUGCCAGCUGAGUAUUAUUUACAAUGCAAAUAGGUGAAGGGUGUGACAACGGACCUCGCCUUGCAGACUCCAUUUCACAGUGGAGCCAAUGGCAGUUGCUUGAUUCUCUUCUACCCACCGGCGGCUUUGCUCACUCUUUUGGCCUUGAAGCAGCAGUUCAGUCCAACCUGGUCUUAAAUCCAGAUGAACUCAAGACAUUCAUUAUCCAUGUCUUGGAGAAUACAGGAAGCUUACUCCUUCCUUUUGUGAACUCGGCUUCUGUGUCGCCCAAUUUGGAAACCUGGCACAAUCUUAACAAAAUAUUGGAUGCCACACUGACAAAUGAAGUCAGCCGAAAGGCAUCGAUCUCACAAGGGUCUGCACUAAUGAGGGUGGGUUUGGCCGUGUUCUCGGAACACUCUUCUUUGAAAACAAUGAGAAAUGCUUCUUUGGGGUCAGGUACUGUAUCUUUUCACCAUGCUCCUAUAUUUGGACUUAUAUGUGGCACACUAGGAUUAGAUAGUACUGAUUCUCAAAGAGCUUAAAUGUACAUCACAAUGAGGGAUGUUAUUUCUGCUGCUACAAGAUUGAAUUUGAUAGGUCCUCUUGGUGCUGCAGUUUUGCAGCAUCAACUUGCUCCUAAUGCUGAAGGUAUACUAGAAAAAUGGAAGAAUCGCGAGGUUGACGAUGCAUGCCAAGUUGCACCUCUGCUAGAUACAGUGCAGGGUUGCCAUGGUUAUUUGUUUUCUCGGCUCUUUUCGUCUUAGAAGGCACAAACAUAAGGCUGAUAUUGUAUUUUUCAUAAUAUGAAGCACAUAGACAUAGUAGAGUUUUGACUGGAAGAGACAACGUUAAAUUUUUUGGUAAAUUGAAUUUUCUUGUUUCUUGUGA